ACUACACCCUCCCCCCGCCCACCGCCUCCGCAACCAACCUCCAGAGAGGGGAAAGGGGGCAGAAGUUUGAGUUAAUAACUAAUAGCUAAUGAAGUAAACAAUAAGCCUCCAUAAAACCCAAAAGAACUGGACUGGGUUCCGAGAGCUUCCAGGUUGUUGAGCACGUGGAGGUUCUGGGAGGGUCCACACCCAGAGAAGGCAGGAAGCUGACCCCUUCCCCAUACCUUGCUCUUUGCAUCUCUUCCGUUUGGCUGUUCCCAAGUUGUAUACUUUGUAAUAAGUGGGAUUUCCACCCAACAACAAUUCAGCCACACUGCUUUACACAUCUAGAAUCCAACCAAAAUUGUAAAGGCUUUGUGGCACUACAGUGAAGGAGGGGAGAACAUCUUCCAAACAUCCAGCACAAGAGCACACAGGAGGCCGGCAUAAUCACAAAUUGCAGCUGUCUGAAGGGCAGUCACAUAAAAGAGGAGAAACUUCACCUUUGCUUCACAAGACACAUCUUGAACCAGGGAUGGAAAUUACAGAGAGGCCAAAACCAGCUCAGUAUGAGCAGCACUGAUAACAGACUGGCC
RNAcentral lists this long non-coding RNA (575 nucleotides) under Pongo abelii (Sumatran orangutan). Its description in RNAcentral is "lincRNA". Lineage: Eukaryota; Metazoa; Chordata; Mammalia; Primates; Hominidae. The record is from RNAcentral.